Molecule: ribosomal RNA, 492 nt
Filed under: uncultured bacterium
Lineage: Bacteria
Description: partial 16S ribosomal RNA
Rfam family: Bacterial small subunit ribosomal RNA
Source: RNAcentral
AGUGAACGCUGGCGGUAGGCCUAACACAUGCAAGUCGAACGGCAGCACAGUAAGAGCUUGCUCUUACGGGUGGCGAGUGGCGGACGGGUGAGGAAUACAUCGGAAUCUACUUUUUCGUGGGGGAUCACGUAGGGAAACUUACGCUAAUACCGCAUACGACCUACGGGUGAAAGCAGGGGAUCUUCUGACCUUGCGCGAUUGAAUGAGCCGAUGUCGGAUUAGCUAGUUGGCGGGGUAAAUGCCCACCAAGGCGCCGAUCCGUAGCUGGUCUGAGAGGAUGAUCAGCCACACUGGAGCUGAGACACGGUCCAGACGCCUACGGGAGGCAGCAGUGGGGAAUAUGGGACAAUGGGCGCAAGCCUGAUCCAGCCAUACCGCGUGGGUGAAGAAGGCCUUCGGGUUGUAAAGCCCUUUUGUUGGGAAAGAAAAGCAGCAGGUUAAUACCCCGCUGUUCUGACGGUACCCAAAGAAUAAGCACCGGCUAACUUCGUG